UUUAUGGAGAGUUUGAUCCUGGCUCAGGAUGAACGCUGGCGGCGUGCCUAAUACAUGCAAGUCGAGCGAACGGAUGAGAAGCUUGCUUCUCUGAUGUUAGCGGCGGACGGGUGAGUAACACGUGGAUAACCUACCUAUAAGACUGGGAUAACUUCGGGAAACCGGAGCUAAUACCGGAUAAUAUUUUGAACCGCAUGGUUCAAA
Molecule: ribosomal RNA, 204 nt
Filed under: Staphylococcus aureus
Lineage: Bacteria; Bacillati; Bacillota; Bacilli; Caryophanales; Staphylococcaceae
Description: partial 16S ribosomal RNA
Rfam family: Bacterial small subunit ribosomal RNA
Source: RNAcentral